CCUACGGGAGGCAGCAGUGGGGAAUAUUGGACAAUGGGGGGAACCCUGAUCCAGCCAUGCCGCGUGUGUGAAGAAGGCCCUCGGGUUGUAAAGCACUUUCAGUGAGGAAGAACGCCUGGUGGUUAAUACCCAUCAGGAAAGACAUCACUCACAGAAGAAGCACCGGCUAACUCCGUGCCAGCAGCCGCGGUAAUACGGAGGGUGCGAGCGUUAAUCGAAAUUACUGGGCGUAAAGCGCGCGUAGGUGGCUUGAUAAGCCGGUUGUGAAAGCCCCGGGCUCAACCUGGGAACGGCAUCCGGAACUGUCAAGCUAGAGUGCAGGAUAGGAAGGUAGAAUUCCCGGUGUAGCGGUGAAAUGCGUAGAGAUCGGGAGGAAUACCAGUGGCGAAGGCGGCCUUCUGGACUGACACUGACACUGAGGUGCGAAAGCGUGGGUAGCAAACAGGAUUAGAUACCCUUGUAGUC
RNAcentral lists this ribosomal RNA (465 nucleotides) under Vreelandella stevensii. Its description in RNAcentral is "partial 16S ribosomal RNA". It matches the Rfam family "Bacterial small subunit ribosomal RNA", at positions 338 to 795 of the family's 1533-position model. Lineage: Bacteria; Pseudomonadati; Pseudomonadota; Gammaproteobacteria; Oceanospirillales; Halomonadaceae. The record is from RNAcentral.